GCAAAUCCUUCCUUACCAAUGAUCCUUCAACUGUUUUCCCGGAAUUGGAAGGUGAACUUAUCAAAAUUGAACCUUGCAUGGAUUCACUCUGUCCAUUUCUGGCUGUCAAGAACAAUUCAGAGAUGAAGAAGAGAUGGCUCACUCUAAAUAUACAUCUCCACAGUCCAAGGUGCUGAAAAGGUUGAUGCAUCUUGAAUGUAAAUGAGAAGCCACCUUCUGCGGUGGAAUCAUUGUGCCAUUUGCCUAGAGAAACUAUAUCAUCAGUUGCAAUGACACCAUCUGAUUCAUCUAUCACCCCGAAUGCAAAUUCUACCAUGACGAAGACUGCAGAGGCAUGCUAUUUACGUUUAGUGUCCUCUUGAACACAGAGGCUGGCAAGGAUGAUUAUAGCUACCAUCUAUUUAAAGUAUUUGUAUAAUUUAUUUUCUGAAACAUUAAAGUGUUUUGGAAGUUAAGUUGUAUUAAUAUGAACUUAAUAGGGUAAGUUCUUGUCAUAUUUUAGUUGACUAACUGGAACUGCUCGAGUUCUUCUUGUCAUAUCUUAACUGCUGCUUGAUGGUUAGAGACCUCAGAUGCAGAUACUCUGCUUCCUGAACCCAUUUCCCUUUUA
Molecule: non-coding RNA, 610 nt
Organism: Nicotiana tabacum (common tobacco)
Lineage: Eukaryota; Viridiplantae; Streptophyta; Magnoliopsida; Solanales; Solanaceae
Source: RefSeq, a predicted model, not a curated record